ACUCAGAGCACAUACUUCUUUAUGUACCCAUAUGAACUUACACUGCUAUGGAAUGUAAAGAAGUAUGUAUUUUGGGU
This is a non-coding RNA of Mesocricetus auratus (golden hamster), 77 nucleotides long. The record is from Rfam. NCBI's taxonomy places the organism in Eukaryota, Metazoa, Chordata, Mammalia, Rodentia, Cricetidae.